GAUGAACCUCCUUCUGGAGGGGAUUAGUGGCGAACGGGUGAGUAACAUGUGGGCAAUCUGCCCUUCACUCUGGGACAAGCCCUGGAAACGGGGUCUAAUACCGGAUACGACACCCGACCGCAUGGUCUGGGGGUGGAAAGCUCCGGCGGUGAAGGAUGAGCCCGCGGCCUAUCAGCUUGUUGGUGGGGUGAUGGCCUACCAAGGCGACGACGGGUAGCCGGCCUGAGAGGGCGACCGGCCACACUGGGACUGAGACACGGCCCAGACUCCUACGGGAGGCAGCAGUGGGGAAUAUUGCACAAUGGGCGAAAGCCUGAUGCAGCGACGCCGCGUGAGGGAUGACGGCCUUCGGGUUGUAAACCUCUUUCUGCAGGGAAGAAGCGAGAGUGACGGUACCUGCAUAAGAAGCGCCGGCUAACUACGUGCCAGCAGCCGCGGUAAUACGUAGGGCGCAAGCGUUGUCCGGAAUUAUUGGGCGUAAAGAGCUCGUACGCGGCUUGUCACGUCGGAUGUGAAAGCCCGGGGCUUAACCCCGGGUCUGCAUUCGAUACGGGCAGGCUAGAGUUCGGUAGGGGAGAUCGGAAUUCCUGGUGUAGCGGUG
Molecule: ribosomal RNA, 601 nt
Filed under: bacterium 39-L049616-122-011-G05
Lineage: Bacteria
Description: bacterial SSU rRNA
Rfam family: Bacterial small subunit ribosomal RNA
Source: RNAcentral